AUUGAACGCUGGCGGCAUGCCUUACACAUGCAAGUCGAACGGCAGCACGGGAGCUUGCUCCUGGUGGCGAGUGGCGAACGGGUGAGUAAUACAUCGGAACGUACCCUGAAGUGGGGGAUAACGUAGCGAAAGUUACGCUAAUACCGCAUAUUCUGUGAGCAGGAAAGAGGGGGAUCGCAAGACCUCUUGCUUUAGGAGCGGCCGAUGUCGGAUUAGCUAGUUGGUGAGGUAAAGGCUCACCAAGGCGACGAUCCGUAGCGGGUCUGAGAGGAUGAUCCGCCACACUGGGACUGAGACACGGCCCAGACUCCUACGGGAGGUAGCAGUGGGGAAUUUUGGACAAUGGGCGCAAGCCUGAUCCAGCCAUGCCGCGUGAGUGAAGAAGGCC
This 388-nucleotide ribosomal RNA is filed under the name uncultured bacterium. RNAcentral describes it as "bacterial SSU rRNA". It matches the Rfam family "Bacterial small subunit ribosomal RNA", at positions 30 to 416 of the family's 1533-position model. The record is from RNAcentral.